RNAcentral lists this long non-coding RNA (347 nucleotides) under Hordeum vulgare. RNAcentral's name for it is "long non-coding RNA (HVUL_LNC000472)". The record is from RNAcentral. Lineage: Eukaryota; Viridiplantae; Streptophyta; Magnoliopsida; Poales; Poaceae.
UCCUGGCCCGCGUCUCCCAGGUCUCCCUCGAGUUCGUCUACCUCGCCAUCGCCUCCGCCGUCGCCUCCUUCGCCCGUAAGUGCCUGCCGCCACCCUGUCACUUGGAAGCUUCCAGCUGCUGCCAUGCCAUGCCAUGCGACCCGUGAAAGUUUAGUUCCUCUGUCUGACAUCCUGUGAACUCAGAGGUGACCUGCUGGAUGAUCACCGGCGAGCGGCAGGCGGCGCGGAUAAGGAACAUGUACCUGAGGACCAUCCUCCGGCAGGAGAUCGCCUUCUUUGACAUGUACACCAGCACCGGCGAGGUCGUCGGGCGGAUGUCCGGCGAUACGGUCCUCAUCCAGGACGCC